Molecule: ribosomal RNA, 497 nt
Filed under: uncultured bacterium
Lineage: Bacteria
Description: partial 16S ribosomal RNA
Rfam family: Bacterial small subunit ribosomal RNA
Source: RNAcentral
GACGAACGCUGGCGGCGUGCCUAAUACAUGCCAGUAGAACGCUGAAGCGAGGAGCUUGCUCUUCUUGGAUGAGUUGCGAACGGGUGAGUAACGCGUAGGUAACCUGCCUUGUAGCGGGGGAUAACUAUUGGAAACGAUAGCUAAUACCGCAUAACAAUGGAUGACACAUGUCCUUUAUUUGAAAGGGGCAAUUGCUCCACUACAAGAUGGACCUGCGUUGUAUUAGCUAGUAGGUGAGGUAAUGGCUCACCUAGGCGACGAUACAUAGCCGACCUGAGAGGGUGAUCGGACACACUGGGACUGAGACACGGCCAAGACACCUACGGGAGGCAGCAGUAGGGAAUCGUCGGCAAUGGGGGCAACCCUGACCGAGCAACGCCGCGUGAGUGAAGAAGGUUUUCGGAUCGUAAAGCUCUGUUGUAAGUCAAGAACGGGUGUGAGAGUGGAAAGUUCACACUGCGACGGUAGCUUACCAGAAAGGGACGGCUAACUACGUG